This 75-nucleotide antisense RNA is filed under the name Actinacidiphila glaucinigra. Its description in RNAcentral is "Streptomyces glauciniger ASpks TB sRNA". It matches the Rfam family "ASpks TB sRNA". The record is from Rfam by way of RNAcentral. Lineage: Bacteria; Bacillati; Actinomycetota; Actinomycetes; Kitasatosporales; Streptomycetaceae.
CUUGAUCGAGCCCAGCCACAGCGGCUGCUCGUCGGUCUUGUCGCGGCCGUAGGUGGCCAGCAGCGCCUGCGCCUC